Molecule: long non-coding RNA, 1390 nt
Organism: Nasonia vitripennis (jewel wasp)
Lineage: Eukaryota; Metazoa; Arthropoda; Insecta; Hymenoptera; Pteromalidae
Exons: 3
Source: RefSeq, a predicted model, not a curated record
CCCGGCAAUAUCGCGGUGCCGGUAAGUUGUGGGCUGAGGUGAGAUGAUGUUCUCGAGGAUGUUGGUAAAUGACGUUUCUUUUGUUUAAAAAUGUUUGCUGCGAGUAUAAAAGUAGUUUAAAGUUUGUUAAGUAAUAUGGUUCAGUGUGAGAAUUCCAGUUUCUUUCUGCGUAUACUUACAUUACACGAGAGACUUGAUUGUGAAUUGUGUGAUGAAGAAACAUCAAACAUCGAUCUUCAGAAUAUGAAGAAUAAGAGUUGCAGAGUGGACGUCGAAGGGAGGCCAAACUUAUGACUUCGCGGCGACAUGGGUAGAUGGAAUUAACGUUUCAAGGCCUUUAAGCCGUCGUUGCGAUAAAGUUGCCGGGAAAGCUAGCCACUGGAGCAGCCCUGAGGACAGGUAGAGGAGCCGCGAUGGCCAAAGGAGCAGCCCUGAUGAUCGGAGCUGGUGCAGCAAUAGCCACAGGCGCGCUAUAGGCGAUCGGGGCGACUCCGAGGUAGCCGGCGUUGGCGGCGGCGAUGCAGGCGCACAAAAGGAUUACGAACUUGAACAUGGCGUUUGUUGGGCUGAUGCUCUCUUAGACUGAGGAAGAUUGAAUCUGAUGACAACGAGACGCUGAACGAGGGUUUUUAUACCGGAGAGUCACAAGGAUGACCGGUGACUACCACACAAGGUGGUACCGAAAGAGAUAAUGAGAGGAUAGGUGAUGCAUUGACCGGUUGAGGGAUUCAGGGCUGGUGAGAGGUUUUUUUGUAUGCUAUGGAACAAAAGAGCGAGCACUGCGGCUUUCGCGAAAGGACGAUUGAUGUGUUGCGACGGUGAAAGUUUUUCUUCCGCGUGUGAGUAAAGUUUGAGAAAAAGGUGCUUAUUAAAUAUGCAGAAUCUAUGAUGUCGGAGGUGCAUUUGUUGAUGAUUUUUAUCAAGCCAGUUUUAUAUUUCUAUAAAUACAAACAAAUACAAUGGUUUCCCACUAUCAAUAAUGGAAUUUACUACUUUUUUAAAAACUUUUGCAUUGAUUUAGUUAUGGGGCAGGUUUUUACUUUAGAUAUAAAAUUUUGCUUGGUUUUUUAAAGCUUUUUUGGUAAUGCGACUCAUUGUUCGCAAGAUUUAAAAUAAGUAGUAAAUCACAACUUCUAUUCCAAUUUAUUGUUUAAGUGUUUUCCAUCAUUGUAAGAUCAUUUAUGAAUAAAAGGUCAAUUUAAAAAUUCUAUUGUUACCCUAUUACUCAUCUAUCCGUACAUUGUUAAUUGAAAAUCAAAGGAUUACAAAACUUUCUUCAUAGAUUGAGCGUGAGAUAAAUUUACUAUCAUAUCUCUGACUAAAGAAUGUGUACACGUGUUCGUGGAAAAUGCAUAUGCAGUAACACUGCGCUAGUUCUUGCAUCAGCCGA